This 464-nucleotide ribosomal RNA is filed under the name uncultured bacterium. Its description in RNAcentral is "partial 16S ribosomal RNA". It matches the Rfam family "Bacterial small subunit ribosomal RNA", at positions 28 to 507 of the family's 1533-position model. The record is from RNAcentral.
GACGAACGCUGGCGGCGUGCUUAACACAUGCAAGUCGAACGGAAAGGCCCAGCUUGCUGGGUGCUCGAGUGGCGAACGGGUGAGUAACACGUGGGUGAUCUGCCCCUAACUUCGGGAUAAGCUUGGGAAACUGGGUCUAAUACCGGAUAGGACAAUCGUUUAGUGUCGGUUGUGGAAAGUUUUUUCGGUUAGGGAUGAGCCCGCAGCCUAUCAGCUUGUUGGUGGGGUAAUGGCCUACCAAGGCGUCGACGGGUAGCCGGCCUGAGAGGGUGGACGGCCACAUUGGGACUGAGAUACGGCCCAGACUCCUACGGGAGGCAGCAGUGGGGAAUAUUGCACAAUGGGCGCAAGCCUGAUGCAGCGACGCCGCGUGGGGGAUGACGGCCUUCGGGUUGUAAACCUCUUUCGACAGGGACGAAGCUUUGGUGACGGUACCUGUAUAAGAAGCACCGGCUAACUACGUG